UACGUAGGGUGCAAGCGUUGUUCGGAAUUACUGGGCGUAAAGGGCUCGUAGGCGGCCAACUAAGUCAGGCGUGAAAGCCCCGGGCUUAACCUGGGAACUGCGUUUGAUACGGAUGGGCUAGAGUUCGGGAGAGGAGAGUGGAAUUCCCAGUGUAGAGGUGAAAUUCGUAGAUAUUGGGAAGAACACCGGUGGCGAAGGCGGCUCUCUGGACCGAGACUGACGCUGAGGCGCGAAAGCGUGGGGAGCAAACAGG
This 253-nucleotide ribosomal RNA is filed under the name uncultured bacterium. Its description in RNAcentral is "partial 16S ribosomal RNA". It matches the Rfam family "Bacterial small subunit ribosomal RNA", at positions 524 to 776 of the family's 1533-position model. The record is from RNAcentral.